GAGCCAUUAGCUCAGUUGGUAGAGCAUCUGACUUUUAAUCAGAGGGUCGCGGGUUCGAAUCCCCUAUGGCUCACCA
Molecule: transfer RNA, 76 nt
Filed under: Staphylococcus pseudintermedius
Lineage: Bacteria; Bacillati; Bacillota; Bacilli; Caryophanales; Staphylococcaceae
Description: tRNA-Lys
Rfam family: tRNA
About the family: Transfer RNA (tRNA) molecules are approximately 80 nucleotides in length. Their secondary structure includes four short double-helical elements and three loops (D, anti-codon, and T loops).
Source: RNAcentral